GGAAGUCUGGUGCCAGCAGCCGCGGUAAUUCCAGCUCCAAUAGCGUAUAUUAAAGUUGUUGCAGUUAAAAAGCUCGUAGUUGAACCUCGGGAUCAAUGGAUCGGUCAUGCCAUCGGUAUGUACUGGUCUCAUUGGUUCUCACCUUCUAAGGAACCAUGAUGUCAUUAAUUUGAUGUUGUGGGGAAUUAGGACUGUUACCUUGAAAAAAUUAGAGUGUUUAAAGCAGGCUAACGCUUGAAUACAUUAGCAUGGAAUAAUGAAAUAGGACAUCGCAUUCUAUUUUGUUGGUUUCUAGGAUCGAUGUAAUGAUUAAUAGGGAUAGUUGGGGGCAUUAGUAUUCAAUUGUCAGAGGUGAAAUUCUUGGAUUUAUUGAAGACUAACUACUGCGAAAGCAUUUGCCAAGGAUGUUUUCAUUAAUCAAGAACGAAAGUUAGGGGAUCGAAGACGAUCAGAUACCGUCGUAGUCUUAACCAUAAACUAUGCCGACUAGGGAUCGGAUGAUGUUGAUUUCUUAAUGACUCAUUCGGCGCCUUACGGGAAAC
RNAcentral lists this ribosomal RNA (542 nucleotides) under uncultured Glomeromycotina. RNAcentral's name for it is "SSU rRNA". It matches the Rfam family "Eukaryotic small subunit ribosomal RNA", at positions 555 to 1098 of the family's 1831-position model. Lineage: Eukaryota; Fungi; Glomeromycota. The record is from RNAcentral.